AUGUGGUGUCGGAGCACGAGCGUUACUCUCUUGCGACGUGCGUGCAGCCCUAUUGACUUGCGACGUGCGUGCAGCCUUAUUGACGUGUGUGUGUGUGUGUGUGUGUGUGUGUGUGUGUGUGUGUGUGUGUGUGUCUGUGUCUGUGUCUGUCGCCUCGCCUUCAAACAGGUGACCCGGAAGCUCGCCGGUGCCGCCGCCCAUACCGCAGCCUGGGCGACCAACGUGGGCAACGAGCACGGGCAGGUGCUAAUGUCCGUGCUCACGGCCACCGAGGGGGGUGGCCUGUUGCCCAUGGCCGCGGGGUUAAUGCGGCGGUACCGGGACGCUGGGGUAGCGCAGCCUCGCGUCCUCUACGUCGACCGGGACUGCUGUUCGUCCCACGGGGGGUCCAAGGCAGCUGCUGCGUUCCAGGAGUGGGACAAGCUGGUGGUCCGGUUGGACAUUUGGCACCUGAUGCGACGCUACGCGUCAGGUGUCACAACCGAGAGCCACCAGCUCUACAAGCCCUUCCUGCAGCAGCUGUCCGCCAGUAUCUUCCUGUGGGACCCAGAGGACACAGCCCGGUUGCUCAACGCCAAGAGGAGGACGCUAGAGGCGCAGGGGAUGACCUUCUCGUCCGAAGCCGGAGUGUGGAGGCACGUCAGCCGCAGGGAGAUGGCUCUCCAUUGCCGUCGCCGCACGCGUGGAGCUGCGGCGACCGAGCGGCUGAUUGAUGACCUCCUGCAAACCUUCGGCGGUGCCAACGGGCGAGACACCAUGGGGAUUCCCCUGCUGGACCGAGACCGCAUCCAGGCAAUCCGUGCGGAGCAGCGACGGCACCUCGAGUGCAUCCAGGACCCGCCGGGCGUGGAGCUGUACACGGAGACAGGCAGGCUGACCAAGGGGGGGAUCAGCCUGCCGACGUACCGUUGUGCGCGCGGCUCCACGUCCCUGGAGUCGUUCCAUCUCCACCUCAACCGCUUCAUUCCAGGUAAACCACGGGUUUCACCGUCGUGUCUAUCUUUCACUGCCGCCGCCCUCGUUGUCGUUCACGUUGUGCGUGCUGACUAA
This 1050-nucleotide long non-coding RNA is filed under the name Gadus morhua (Atlantic cod). RNAcentral's name for it is "lncRNA (ENSGMOG00000027839.1)". The record is from RNAcentral. Lineage: Eukaryota; Metazoa; Chordata; Actinopteri; Gadiformes; Gadidae.